RNAcentral lists this non-coding RNA (45 nucleotides) under Echinostoma caproni. Lineage: Eukaryota; Metazoa; Platyhelminthes; Trematoda; Plagiorchiida; Echinostomatidae. The record is from RNAcentral.
GCACUGCUGACGAGUCCCAAAUAGAACGAAACAGCUGUCCAGUGC